GACGAACCGUCCUAACGUUAUUCGGAAUCACUGGGCUUAAAGGGCGCGUAGGCGGAUGAGCAAGUCCGGUGUGAAAUCUUUCGGCUUAACCGGAAGAGUGCUUUGGAUACUGCUCAUCUUGAGGGAGGUAGGGGCAUGUGGAACUUCUGGUGGAGCGGUGAAAUGCGCAGAUAUCUGGGGGAAGGCCGGCGGCGAAGGCGCCUAUCUGGGAGAUACCUGACACUGAGGCGCGAAAGCGUGGGGAGCAAACAGG
This 253-nucleotide ribosomal RNA is filed under the name uncultured bacterium. Its description in RNAcentral is "partial 16S ribosomal RNA". It matches the Rfam family "Bacterial small subunit ribosomal RNA", at positions 524 to 776 of the family's 1533-position model. The record is from RNAcentral.